Molecule: long non-coding RNA, 1981 nt
Filed under: Equus caballus (horse)
Lineage: Eukaryota; Metazoa; Chordata; Mammalia; Perissodactyla; Equidae
Description: lncRNA (ENSECAG00000047551.1)
Source: RNAcentral
CAAGAGACUACGUGAGACAUGUAUUUAGAAUUUGGCUCCAGGAUAAUUUUUUUCCCAAGAAAUUGAUGAGUUUUUUCUUUCUGAAUAAAAGAAUGAGGGAAGCUCAGAGCCAAAACUGAUGUUUAAUCUCAGCAACUCUACUAGUGUUCAUGAUCUGACUUUUCAAAUCUGCGGAGUCAGCUCUAUGGAAAUGAGCAAUUUUUGCCAGCCUUACACUGUGUAAUAGGUUAAACUGAGCAGAAACCCCAGGGUUUCAUUGUGGAGAGAAUGAAAGAUGCAUAGAAGAGACAACAUCCAAUUCGUUUGUUGUAUGUACCAUACGCCUACCCCUUCAGUGCCCAGUUAUUGAAUGGAUAGAUGGACAGAUGGAUGGAGGUGCCUUUGGGCAAAACUGGGAAUGUCUGACAAUUACAUUAAAUUGAGUCCUUUAAAAUAUCUUCCUUCUUUUAUCCUAUUCUUUAGUUUCAUUUAGCUUGUACUUUCAUUUAACUUGUACUUUGUAAUUACAAAGGGGCUAAUAAAAAAAUUGAAAUGCCUUGAAUUAACACUUUUAAAAUAUUCUCAAGCUGCAUUUCCUUCUUCAGUGUGUUUUAUAAUCUUUAUUCCAUCUGGUAAUUAUAACAAUACAAACCAUAGCUUGUGAGCCUAACUCACAUACAACUUAAUAGAACGUAAUAAGUUUUCCAAAGAAAAUUCAAAUCUAUUAUGAUUUGAAUCUCCACUUCUUUAAUAAGUAAAAUCCUGGUUUUCUUAGCAUAAUAGUGUCUCCUGCAUUAUUACUUUGUUCAUUUUUGAAAACUGAGAUUUGGGGGAAGGAAAUAUGAGAGUGGAUGGGGGAAGUCCCCUAAAUGCUAAUAUCACUUUUUAACAGCUAAAGACAGAUGAGGAUGGAGGAAGAAAGAGCAGCAAGAGUUACAGGAAUUUUGGCCAGAAAUCAAUGGAAAGCUCUGAGCCCCCUACUAAAACAAUGAUAUGCCAAUAGCCACAUGAGAAUUUGAUGGAUGGUUCUAGGGGUCAAAUAAAAGUGAAUUAACACGGGCAGUAAACCAUAUGGAGGAACCAGCAGGCAGGGAGAGAUGGCAAAAAAUUGACAUGGAAAACUUGAGCAGAAGCAAACCAGAAGGGGCAAAAAGGAAAACAAAGGAAGGGACAGUUGAGGCCCUUGGGAAUUGUCCACAAUGACUCCUAAAUGUUGAGCUAAAAUUGGCUCCCUGGAUGAAGCCAUCAUUAUUAGUUCAUUCUAAGACAUUAUGGAGAGGAAAUUAAGAUGUUCUAAAAUCAUUUAAAAUGUUUAUGUUUCUUUUUAUAUCCCUCUGUCCUUUAGGAUUUCUUUAAGGAACUUAGGGUAAAGUUUCAUAUAAAUAUGAAUCAGAGAAUUAAAACACAUCUUAGGGAACCACCUGGCCCAAGCCUCCUUUUACAUUAGGAAACUAAGGUCCAAGUUAACUUGGCCAAGGUUAACAUAACACAGUCUUUUCUACUUAUUUGCAGUUCUAUGCUAGACAGGUUGGGUCAGAUUCGCCUAUGGUGUCCCUCCCGUCCAGCACUCAUGGAGUCUAGCACACGAGAAGUGCUCCAGAACAUCAGCUGAGUGAGCGAGAAAUGGCAACUCACUGCUUCUAUUUGGGGUUAUUUCUCAUGGGUCUGUCUUCUGAAAGGCUGCCCUAUUCCCUCCAGCUUAUUAUUUCUAGCACGCCCAGUAACAAUGGCUAUAGAUAGGAGAAUGAAUGUCUGCAGUGUGACAACUGGGAAUUAAAGAAAAUGCGUCACGUUGGUCAGAAACAGAGAGCUCUCCAGAGCACCAAGACUCCAGGGAUCCGUGGCACUGCCUCCACACUCACAGAGGGAGCCCCCAGGGUACACAGUGCCCCUCAGGAGAGCUGCUCAUCCACAGAGCUGACCAGUGACUUAUGUAGCUUGAGGUUUGUGACUUAACUUCUUGAAGACUCCAUAUUUCCUUCUGUUAAGUGGAAGUCCAUUU